Molecule: non-coding RNA, 256 nt
Organism: Cinara cedri
Lineage: Eukaryota; Metazoa; Arthropoda; Insecta; Hemiptera; Aphididae
Source: the annotation of a GenBank genome assembly
AUCAAAUUUUGUUACGAUUUCCAGAUUUAAAUAUCUAUUUCCUACAUUGCCUAUUAAAGAAUUUAAUGAAUCGUGUUCCGAUUUCAAAAUUGAUAUCGGUCAAUUAAAAUGUCUGCAGUUUUGUCUGGCUUUUGAUCUUAAUCGACUAAAAUAUACACCGUCACUUACCCCUUAAAUGGAAAUCGUUUUUGAACCGAUCCAAAAUGAUAAAUAUCCUGUAGAAGAUAUUCCGUAAUGAAAUAUCGGUAGGUAUCCU